Long non-coding RNA from Austrofundulus limnaeus, 1001 nucleotides. RefSeq lists it as uncharacterized. Lineage: Eukaryota; Metazoa; Chordata; Actinopteri; Cyprinodontiformes; Rivulidae. The record is from RefSeq and is a predicted model, not a curated record. The transcript has 4 exons.
GACCAGUUUCGCGUUUGCAGAAUGAGGCACAGCAGCCAACAGUUUUGUGAUCGCAGGACUGACUUCACAUUUUGUGGCCUCACAUGAUGCUAGAAAGAAGAAAAACCGAGGAUGGUGAUGCAGAUCAGGCGGUAAGGGGAGGAAGAAUGAAGAAAUUCCAAAUUUUGGAGGAAUUUACAGUUUGCAAAACAAAGAAAAGUUGAGCAAAUCUACAAGAAGGAAAGUUUGCUCUGAAGCUCAGUGACAUAAACACUAUGAAGUCAGACUCAGCAAUAAAGGGUAAGAGUUUUAUUUACAGGUGUUGGCAAGUUUUGGUCAUCAAUCCUGAAAUGGAGGGUAGAAUCCAGGUGAGUCCAAAAUAACUUGAGUCUUAAUGAGACAAUAUGAGUUCAUCAUCAUCAUAAUCAUAAUAAUCUUUCUUUUCUUACAGGUUGGAGAAAGUGAAGUCGGUCCAGGAGGGAGUUUAAUCCAAAAGAUCCUUGUGGUGGAAAAUCUAAACUGAGCAGUCCUGGUGCACGGAAGACGUCUUGGUGAAUGAACCUAAAACAAGAUCGAAAAGGCAGGUUGUGACAGUAGUAACUUGAGCAGUGAGGCCCAGACCUCUCUUUCUCCAGCCACCUCUUCCAGCUCUUCUGGGAGGAUUCCAAUUGUUCCUGGAGCCAGCCAGGAGACCGAAGCCUCUUUCACAAGAUAGUUCCCUAAAUUCUCCCAUCAGACCAUCUUUAAGCUCCCUCAGGUCAUUCAUAAAUCACAGGUGAAGCUGACCAGUUCCCACUCACAUGUAGUGUGGAACCAACAGAGGAGUGGAGCAGAUCUCAGUUUGGCUGAAGUGGACUGCAACGCAUUUAUUGAAUGACGGACGUCUGCCUCACAUCAAACAAAACAAACUGAAUUGUCUUACUUUAGCGAACCUGUUGUUCAAUAGUUUUAAAACUAGCUACAGUGUUUCUGUUAGGCUCCAUCUUCAAUAUUUCUUGAUAAUAAAUCUGGCUGUUGAUUAA